Molecule: ribosomal RNA, 153 nt
Filed under: uncultured fungus
Lineage: Eukaryota; Fungi
Description: 5.8S ribosomal RNA
Rfam family: 5.8S ribosomal RNA
About the family: 5.8S ribosomal RNA (5.8S rRNA) is a component of the large subunit of the eukaryotic ribosome. It is transcribed by RNA polymerase I as part of the 45S precursor that also contains 18S and 28S rRNA.
Source: RNAcentral
AACUUUCAACAACGGAUCUCUUGGUUCCCGCAUCGAUGAAGAACGCAGCGAAACGCGAUAGUUAAUGUGAAUUGCAGAAUUCAGUGAAUCAUCGAGUCUUUGAACGCACAUUGCGCCCCUUGGUAUUCCGGGGGGCACGUCUGUUCGAGCGUC